RNAcentral lists this ribosomal RNA (423 nucleotides) under uncultured bacterium. RNAcentral describes it as "bacterial SSU rRNA". It matches the Rfam family "Bacterial small subunit ribosomal RNA", at positions 202 to 704 of the family's 1533-position model. The record is from RNAcentral.
ACAAGCUCCUGCUUCUGGAUGAGCCCGCGUCCCAUCAGCUAGUUGGUAGGGUAAUGGCCUACCAAGGCUACGACGGGUAGCUGGGUCUAAGAGGAUGGCCAGCCACACUGGAACUGAGACACGGUCCAGACUCCUACGGGAGGCAGCAGUGGGGAAUCUUGCGGCAAUGGGCGAAAGCCUGACGCAGCGACGCCGCGUGGGUGACGAAGGCCUUCGGGUUGUAAAGCCCUGUGGGGUAGAACGAACUGGCAUCGGGCUAAUAUCCCGGUGUCUUGACGGUACUGCCUUAGCAAGCAUCGGCUAACUCUGUGCCAGCAGCCGCGGUAAGACAGAGGAAGUGCAUUCCGAAAACUGACGGGCUAGAGUACGGAAGAGGGUUUCGGAAUUCCCGGUGUAGAGGUGAAAUUCGUAGAUAUCGGGAGG